RNAcentral lists this small RNA (499 nucleotides) under Pan troglodytes (chimpanzee). RNAcentral describes it as "retained intron". The record is from RNAcentral. Lineage: Eukaryota; Metazoa; Chordata; Mammalia; Primates; Hominidae.
GGUUGGGGGCUGGGUUAGAAUCACUGCCCUGAAGGGAGGAGGGUCCGUAACCCCCCAGAGUGAAGUUCUCAUCGUUCAGAACUGGGCUAAUAGGAUCGGGUCCAGCCUGGGGAAGUUUCUCCAUUGUGCUUCACAACUUUGUGCUUUGUUGCUACAGGAACGAGAUACAAGUUCAGUGGCCGUGAAUCUGCCUGUGCCCAGUGGCGUUGCUUUCCCCGCUGUGUUCCUUCGCUCGCGGGACACACAGGGGAAAUCAGCAACAUCUGGUAAGAGAAGCAUCUUUGCCCAGGAAAUUGCGGCAAGGAGGAUAGCUGAAGCCAAGGGCCCAUCAGUUGGGGAAGUUGUGCCCAACGUGGGCCCACCAGAGGGUGCCGUGACCUGUGAGACACCCACUCCUAGGAACCAGGGCUGCCAGCUUCCUGGGAGCAGCCACAGCUUUCAGGGACCCAAUCUGGUCACAGGGAAGGGGCUCAGGGAUCAAGAAGCUGAGCAGGAAGCC